UACGAAGGGGGCUAGCGUUGCUCGGAAUCACUGGGCGUAAAGCGCACGUAGGCGGAUUGCUAAGUCAGGGGUGAAAUCCUGGAGCUCAACUCCAGAACUGCCUUUGAUACUGGCGAUCUUGAGUCCGGGAGAGGUGAGUGGAACUGCGAGUGUAGAGGUGAAAUUCGUAGAUAUUCGCAAGAACACCAGUGGCGAAGGCGGCUCACUGGCCCGGUACUGACGCUGAGGCGCGAAAGCUAGGGGAGCAAACGGG
RNAcentral lists this ribosomal RNA (253 nucleotides) under uncultured bacterium. RNAcentral describes it as "partial 16S ribosomal RNA". It matches the Rfam family "Bacterial small subunit ribosomal RNA", at positions 524 to 776 of the family's 1533-position model. The record is from RNAcentral.